AUCGCUGUAUCUGCAUGACUAAAUACAUUUAUUUGUUUAUUUAAUCCCGCUUAUAGGUUGACGGUUGACAGUUCAAGAAGUUAUGUGCUGACGCGCACCUCGCGGUACACCAAACUACCAAAGAUACGUUUAAAGUCAAUACAAUCGUUUAAAAUCGAAUAUUAUGAUCUAAGUCCUGAGGACUACCUAAGUCCCCAUCGGCCAUCCCCCAGUACAAACAAUUAAUGUAUGCCACAUUCGACGGAUAAAAAAAAUAAAAUAAAAAAAAGAUUCAAGUACCUAAUACCUACACAGUAAUAAUUCGUACCUACCUAGUAUAUUUUUUUAGCCGUACAUGAACAUGGUACCUAUCACAUUUCAUAGUGGGUACCUGCUGAAAAUAUAUGGUGUUGAACUGUUGGAUAUUUAACAAAUCAGAAAUCAGAAUGAAAAAUAUGAGCAAAUUCUAUAAAAAAAUCUUAAACUAAUCAUUUAUUAUCGACUACUUAUCAUUAUUAGGUAUUAAAAAUUAAAAUAGUUUGUUGGAACACCUUAUAAUUGUAUUAAUUUAAAAACCGGACAAUAGAUAUACCGUAUACCAAUGAAAUAAUUAGUUAUUCAUUAUUUAGGUACAUGACGUGUUCUUGAAAAUGUUGUGUGUAUAUAUUAUACUGUGUAGUAGGUAGGUAGUAGGUGUGUCAUUAAAUAAUGAUGAAAACAGGACCAAAACAUAUCGUUUAUUUUUUAAUCGGAAUUACUACGGUUGUAUUUUUCGACUUCCGGGUUUCGGCACGUCGAUUGCCGACCACUUGGAAUUAGGAUAGUAGGAGCCUACAAAUUACAAUGGAUGAAAAGAGACUUAGUUUAAUUUUUUUAAUUAUCGUACUUAAAUUUAAAUUUAAAUUGAACAAUAAAAAGUAUUCUCAUCAUCUCAUCGUUCCCCCACCCCCAAUAACAAUGGUAAUAAUUGUUUUCUCUUUGGCAUAUUAAUUUUUACUCCUAUGCUUUAUUCUACGUUGUGCUAGACUGCUAAAGCUAAAACAGUAAAACGUGGUUAAAUAAUCAAAACAUUUUUAAUUCGUAAAA
Long non-coding RNA from Rhopalosiphum padi (bird cherry-oat aphid), 1065 nucleotides. RefSeq lists it as uncharacterized. The transcript has 3 exons. The record is from RefSeq and is a predicted model, not a curated record. NCBI's taxonomy places the organism in Eukaryota, Metazoa, Arthropoda, Insecta, Hemiptera, Aphididae.